GGGAAGGUAGCUCAGUGGUAGAGUGCUUGCCUUGCAUGCAUGAGGCCCUGGGUUUGAGUCCUUAGCACCA
Molecule: non-coding RNA, 70 nt
Organism: Dipodomys ordii (Ord's kangaroo rat)
Lineage: Eukaryota; Metazoa; Chordata; Mammalia; Rodentia; Heteromyidae
Source: Rfam